RNAcentral lists this ribosomal RNA (274 nucleotides) under uncultured bacterium. RNAcentral's name for it is "partial 16S ribosomal RNA". It matches the Rfam family "Bacterial small subunit ribosomal RNA", at positions 523 to 796 of the family's 1533-position model. The record is from RNAcentral.
AUACGGAGGGCGCAAGCGUUGCCCGGGAUCACUGGGUGUAAAGGGUGCGUAGGCGGGGCUGUAAGUCAGAGGUGAAAGCCCUCGGCUCAACCGGGGAAUUGCCUCUGAUACUGCAGCUCUUGAGUCCCGGAGAGGCCGCUGGAAUUCCUGGUGUAGCGGUGAAAUGCGUAGAUAUCAGGAGGAACACCGGAGGCGAAGGCGGGCGGCUGGACGGGGACUGACGCUGAGGCACGAAAGCGUGGGGAGCAAACAGGAUUAGAAACCCUAGUAGUCC